Long non-coding RNA from Canis lupus familiaris (dog), 1694 nucleotides. RefSeq lists it as uncharacterized. Lineage: Eukaryota; Metazoa; Chordata; Mammalia; Carnivora; Canidae. The transcript has 5 exons. The record is from RefSeq and is a predicted model, not a curated record.
GGGCCGGGCUCCUUCUCGCGGCUCCGGGGCCCGCACCUCCGGGGCGCUCGGUCCAACAGCGCCCCCACCCCCACCCCGGGGCAGGGCAGAAGGGGAGAAGGGAGCUUAGCGACACCCAGGCCAGAUGUAGAGAUGCAGAGAGAGAGAGGGGCAGAGACAGAGGGAGAAGCAGGCUCCAUGCAGGGAGCCCGACGUGGGACUCGAUCCCGGGACUCCAGGAUCACACCCCGGGCUGCAGGCGGCGCUAAACCCCUAAGCCACCGGGGCUGCCCGCGCACCGUGUUUUCAUAGCAGAGUCCGCGGCCAAGCAGCCAUAGCACACCUGCCACGUCAGAAUGCCUUUGCACACACCUGCAGUGAGGGGUCAGGAACGAGCCCCUCCCUUCACCAGCCUCCCCGGCAAAGAGCUGACUGGAGUCAGACACCUGAGCCAAGCCCAGUGAGGCAGAAGUGUGAAGGGACUCUGGGUAACCUUCCCCUUUCUGGAUAUGUGGUCUUCACCGGUCAAUCAGGAAUUUCCCGGUCAGCACCAGUGAGGAAAUCUGUCAUGGGGGUCCUCUCUGUCCCCCAAAGGAAGAUGAGGACGAGCAAGGAGGUGCAGGGAGCAACUGGAGCUGGAGAGCAUUCCUGGAGGACAGAGAGCCCAUAAGGCCAAUGUGGUUGACCUGAGCAGGGGCUGAAGGCACAGUGGACAGGAUGAUGAGGUCAGAGGCAGGCAGAGAUCAGAUCUCGUGAGGUCUCAUGGGUCACUGUGAGGAGUUUGGACUUCAUCUCAAGGACCAUGGAAAGCCAGGGAAGGAUUUGAAGACAGUCAAUGACCUGAUCUGACCUUUGUUUUUAACAGACCUCUCUGGCUGGCUGAGAAGAAUAGGUCAAGGAUGCCCAGGAGGCAGGGCGGUGGGGAAUGGUGGAGUGGCAGUGGAAGUGGGGAGAAGUGGUCAGAUUUGGGAUAUAUUCUGGAAGACGGGCAGACAGGAAUUGCUGAUGCGGAGGAAGAUUCAAAGAAGGCCGUGGGGUGACUGCUGAUGAGUCAGCUCAUGUCCUGAGCAGUGGAGGCUUCCACGACCAGAAUCACUGACCGUCCUUUUGGCUGAGCUGGACACAUCCUGGAGACCUUCUAGUCUCCCUGCGAUUUUACACCCAUAGAGCCUCAGCCCAGGGGAGUGAGGAAACACGCCCAUGUCCUGGGUAAAAGCAGAGGUCCCCCAGCUCCCGGUCCAGAACCUGCCUGACCACGGGCUUCAUUUAUUUCUCGGGCAAACCAGUGAACCUGAAUAAAGGAAAUCUCAUUUGAAAUGGAGUCGGAAGGCCAGAAGGGGAAGCUCUCACCCUCUACCACUCCUCAUCAGUUGCAGAAGCAAUAGAAAGAGACAAUACCUUGCAUUCCACACAGAAAGAAGCCUGGACAUUAUUUUCUCUGCAUGAGGAAGGAAGAUUUUCUCCUGGUCUGGCAACAGCCCAGCCAAUGAGAGACUGUCACAACUCGGCCAGUGAAAAGCCACUACACUUACAACUCCCAGUUUCCUCCAAAGGAAUUUUUAUUAAAAACAGUCCUCAACUCCCUGCCCUUUCCUCUUUGUUCUUUCGUCUUUGUUCACUGGACUUGCCUAUGGUUUUGCCAUAGCUUGCAUGUCCUGAGUUGCAAUCCUCUGCUAUUCCUGAAUAAACCUGUUUUGCUGGUAAAAUAACUGACA